UACGUAGGGGGCAAGCGUUGUCCGGAUUUAUUGGGCGUAAAGAGCGUGUAGGCGGCCAGACAGGUCCGUUGUGAAAACUCGAGGCUCAACCUCGAGACGCCGGUGGAAACCGUAAAGCUAGAGUCCGGAAGAGGAGAGUGGAAUUCCUGGUGUAGCGGUGAAAUGCGCAGAUAUCAGGAGGAACACCCGUGGCGAAAGCGGCUCUCUGGGACGGUACUGACGCUGAGACGCGAAAGCGUGGGGAGCAAACAGG
RNAcentral lists this ribosomal RNA (253 nucleotides) under uncultured bacterium. Its description in RNAcentral is "partial 16S ribosomal RNA". It matches the Rfam family "Bacterial small subunit ribosomal RNA", at positions 524 to 776 of the family's 1533-position model. The record is from RNAcentral.